This 570-nucleotide ribosomal RNA is filed under the name Triticum aestivum (bread wheat). RNAcentral's name for it is "partial small subunit ribosomal RNA". Lineage: Eukaryota; Viridiplantae; Streptophyta; Magnoliopsida; Poales; Poaceae. The record is from RNAcentral.
AUGGCAAUUGUCCAUACAUACGGAAAGCCUGACAUCUUCUUGACCAUGACCUGCAACCCUAACUGGGAAGAGAUAACAAAUGAGUUGUUUCCUGGCCAGACUGCGCAAGACCGACCUGAUCUUGUGGCUUGUGUGUUCCAUGGCAAGCUAGAGGCUAUGAAAGAGAUGUUGUUCAAGAAGAAUAUCCUGGGUGUUGUUGUCGCACAUGUAUACGUAGUCGAGUUCCAAAAGAGGGGCCUCCCCCACGCACACUUUUUGUUGAUCAUGGAUUCUGCCUAUAAGCUUGUCGUUCCGGAGCAGUACGACCGACCCAUUUCUGCCGAGCUCCCAGACAAGCAAAAGUAUCCUGAACUCCACGCCUUGGUGGUGAAACAUAUGAUGCACGGACCAUGCGGUGCUCUCAACCCCAAAAAUGUUUGCAUGCAACAAAACGAGUGCAAGUGCAGAUACCCGCGGCCGUUCAAUGAAAACACGGCACAGGGCAAGGACUCAUACCCAGUUUAUCGUCGUCGAGAUAAUGGUCGGCAGGCUAAGGUCCGGGGUAAAAUGUUGGAAAACAGAUGGGUUUAG